Molecule: non-coding RNA, 589 nt
Organism: Paramuricea clavata
Lineage: Eukaryota; Metazoa; Cnidaria; Anthozoa; Malacalcyonacea; Plexauridae
Source: the annotation of a GenBank genome assembly
UACUUAAUUAAUAUAAAACUAAUUAAAACUGACCUUCCAUGUGCUUUAGUGCUUCAUCUGCAAAUCCAACUGAACUUAUUUCACACAUCCAAAGAUGACAAUACGUUGGACUUGAUUGGCUUGUACACAUUGGUAUUUGGUUUUUUCGUCAUAUAGUUGCAAUUGCUGUUGCUUGUAAUUUUUUUAUAAAUCAGUACAGGCUCAGGGCGCUCAGCGAUGUAGCGAAAUUUCGGGCCGUCUUUCACAACAAAUAACAUCACAAUAGAUGCACGUCUUUUUGGAGUUAUAAUUUCAAAAAUAACCAGUCGUUAUAACGUAAAAUAAGCGGGUAUUUGUGAACAAAAAUGCCCUUUGAUGACACGAAGUAACCAGCGCCAUCUUGUCUUCUGCAAACCUUACAAAUUUUCCCGCCAAAAACUCCCUCGAAGUCCCGUAUGUACUUGACGUCACAAGGUCAUGGACGAGGGGACUACCAUAUUUGGUAGUAAAACUAAAUCCAAUAUAAUUUUAAUCUCUUUCCUUCGCUAUUUUUGCUUUCCGCAUAUUGUUUGACCCAACCACGACUGUGACACAACAAUUUUUGCUCACU